Molecule: ribosomal RNA, 498 nt
Filed under: uncultured bacterium
Lineage: Bacteria
Description: partial 16S ribosomal RNA
Rfam family: Bacterial small subunit ribosomal RNA
Source: RNAcentral
GACGAACGCUGGCGGCGUGCCUAAUACAUGCAAGUCGAACGAGAGCGACCGGUGCUUGCACUGGUCAAUCUAGUGGCGAACGGGUGAGUAACACGUGGGUAACCUGCCCAUCAGAGGGGGAUAACAUCCGGAAACGGAUGCUAAAACCGCAUAGGUCUUCGAGCCGCAUGGCUUGAAGAGGAAAAGAGGCGCAAGCUUCUGCUGAUGGAUGGACCCGCGGUGCAUUAGCUAGUUGGUGAGGUAACGGCUCACCAAGGCCGUGAUGCAUAGCCGACCUGAGAGGGUGAUCGGCCACAUUGGGACUGAGACACGGCCCAAACUCCUACGGGAGGCAGCAGUAGAGAAUCUUCCGCAAUGGACGCAAGUCUGACGGAGCAACGCCGCGUGAGUGAAGAAGGUUUUCGGAUCGUAAAACUCUGUUGUUAGAGAAGAACAAGUGCUAGAGUAACUGUUAGCGCCUUGACGGUAUCUAACCAGAAAGCCACGGCUAACUACGUG